This 259-nucleotide ribosomal RNA is filed under the name uncultured bacterium. RNAcentral describes it as "partial 16S ribosomal RNA". It matches the Rfam family "Bacterial small subunit ribosomal RNA", at positions 1233 to 1500 of the family's 1533-position model. The record is from RNAcentral.
GCAGGUACAGAGGGGUGCUACCGGGUGACCGGAUGCCGAUCUCGAAAACCUGUCCCAGCUCGGACUGGAGUCUGCAACCCGACUCCACGAAGUUGGAUUCGCUAGUAAUCGCGCAUCAGCCAUGGCGCGGUGAAUACGUUCCCGGGCCUUGUACACACCGCCCGUCAAGCCAUGGGAGCCGGGGGCGCCUGAAGUCCGGGACCGCGAGGACCGGCCUAGGGCGAAACUGGUGACUGGGGCUAAGUCGUAACAAGGUAUC